AUUCUCCUUCAAGUCCGGAUCGAUCUAGGUCUACUACGACACAAAUCGAUCAUCCAAUCUUCUCUCGCUUAGCGGGAAGGCUGGAAGGCGGCGAGGGCCCGGGGAGUGGCGGGAAGGCGGAGACGGACAGGGGAGCGGUGGCUUUGCGUGCAGCGAAGAAGGGAGAAGCGGCGAGGCCGCGGCAGGAAGGCUGCAGGUCGUCUGCUAGCAUCCCCUACUCCUCUGCCCGCCCCUCCAGCCUGCCCACCGGCGGUGCUCUACUCCUUCGGCCACCCAUCUUCUCCUUCACCGUGUACGACGGCGAGACUAACCUCCGAGGUUUGAUGGAUAAAUAAAGUCGCCGAUCUGAAAAUGUGGAGCCUAGAUGAAGUGAUGAAUUCAUUACUGUUAUUUGCUAUUUUUUUAUGUCCAUGUACUUUAUAAUUUGGACAAGAAGAUUUGUAGGUGUGACUGCCCUAAAGUGUCCGUACUUGAUCUCAAAUACGUUGGUGUUGGUUGUUCUGUUUCCUAAACAUUCUUACACAUGUUACUGUUAAAGAAAAAACAUUCUUACA
Molecule: long non-coding RNA, 554 nt
Organism: Triticum aestivum (bread wheat)
Lineage: Eukaryota; Viridiplantae; Streptophyta; Magnoliopsida; Poales; Poaceae
Exons: 2
Source: RefSeq, a predicted model, not a curated record